RNAcentral lists this ribosomal RNA (497 nucleotides) under uncultured bacterium. RNAcentral describes it as "partial 16S ribosomal RNA". It matches the Rfam family "Bacterial small subunit ribosomal RNA", at positions 28 to 507 of the family's 1533-position model. The record is from RNAcentral.
GAUGAACGCUGGCGGCGUGCCUAAUACAUGCAAGUCGAGCGAACAGAUGAGGAGCUUGCUCCUCUGACGUUAGCGGCGGACGGGUGAGUAACACGUGGAUAACCUACCUAUAAGACUGGGAUAACUUCGGGAAACCGGAGCUAAUACCGGAUAAUAUAUUGAACCGCAUGGUUCAAUAGUGAAAGACGGUUUUGCUGUCUCUUAUAGAGGGUUCCGCGCCGCAUUAGCUAGUUGGUAAGGUAACGGCUUAUCAAGGCAAGGAUGCGUAGCCGACCGGAGAGGGUGAUCGGCCGCACGGGAACUGAACCACGGUCCAGACUCCUACGUGAGGCAGCAGUAGGGAAUCUUCCGCAAUGGGCGAAAGCCUGACGGAGCAACGCCGCGUGAGUUAUGAAGAUCUUCGGAUCGUAAAACUCUGUUAUUAGGGAAGAACAAAUGUGUAAGUAACUAUACACGUCUUGACGGUACCUAAUCAGAAAGCCACGGCUAACUACGUG